Long non-coding RNA from Equus asinus (donkey), 1568 nucleotides. Lineage: Eukaryota; Metazoa; Chordata; Mammalia; Perissodactyla; Equidae. The record is from Ensembl.
GGCAGGUGCCCGGGCGUCCCCGCUCCUCCACCUGCGCCACCUCUGCUGGCGUCUCUUGGCAAGUUUGUCGGGCCCCCUUUUGCGGACAUCCUUGGCCGGUCAGCAGAGUCCAGAUCGGUCAGUAAAUAGAAAACUCGAGCUGGAGGAGGAGGAAGAGGAAGCGUGUGGGAACCUGGUCCAGGAUGGGAGUCUCUUUGAGGGCAGUGGUGGCUUGGACAUCUUUCUUGGCUCUCUCCCACCUCGGUGAGCGAAUCCUCUUCUGCACAGUCCGACAGGGUCGGGCUGGGCUCCGCUGCCUGCCUUGUGGAACCCGCUGGAAGACAGGUGCACGGAGUUAGGGAGUGACUGCCGCCGGGGCUCAGGGCAGCGCAGUAUUUAUUUGGUUUUUCUGUCAGCCCAGCGCUCGUUCUCUGCUGCCUACAUCACCUGCUUCGGCUGAGGUGCUGCGGCUCGUUUGGCACCCUCGCGUGCUGCCAGGUUAAACAUCCUCUGUUUUAGAAGGGAUGUUCUGGAGGCUGGGAAGUCCAGGAUCAUGGUGCCAGCAGAUUCGAUAUUUGAAGUAAACGUUCCCUUCAUUCCAUCUGGACUUGGACCUGUUUAAUUUCUCAGUGUGGUGUGAUGCUCCCCCACCAUGUUUCCACACCUGGAUUGUCAACUAGGGCAAAUUGUCACCAAUGGCAGUAAAACUUGUUUUCUGGGGGUCCAGGUUAACCCACCCUGGUCGUCUAGAUGGAAACAGAAAUGCUACUUCUCUGGAAGCUACCUCUGACACCCUAUCUAGUUUGGAACUAGGUCAAGUCCUCCUGUAAAGGGUGUCAUAAGUACCCAAAUAUUAAUUAUUACAGUGUUCUUCUGUGUUGAAUAUGGAUGUUAUUAUCAUUAUAACAUGAAAAUAUUUGUGAACUGAUGACAUAUAAAAUCAGUUCCCACUCACAUAUCUUGCCUUAACACUAACAUCUAUCUCCGUUCAUCCUGUCGGUAUCUUGUAUCCGUUAAUCUCUACUUUGAUAGUUGGAUGUUAAAACAAUCCAGUGCAAAUUGGUUCCAAAGUAACAUGACACAUAUCACCAGCUAUGCAGAAUUUCAUGAAUUUGAUGAUAGUGAUGUUGAACUGCUAGAACCACGUGCAAAGGUAAUGUCUAAUAAAGAUCCAGCAGAUUUAUAUGAGUUUGUGAUUGAAGAAGAUAUAAUGGACAAUGAUCUCCAAUAGACAAUAAUUUGGAAGUCACAAAACUAGAAAAAGACUCUAAGAAAAUUGAUUUUUUUUUAAUUUUUACAAAAACAUGCUGUUUGUUAUCAUCCUGUAAAAACUGAGUGAAAAUAAAGGUUUUGUAUUAUGCUGUUAUGCAGUAUUUUGGGGAAAUUGUUAUCUGUCUCUCUAAUCAGCACUUGAUUCAUAUUUUUAUUUUAAGAAUGAUUUUAUUAAAUAUUCAAUGAAAUAAACAUUUUCAUUUUUCUUUACCAUUUUUCAAGAUAGUCAUUCAGUUUAUGUUGUGUAAGAAAUCACAUGAAACUUGAUGGCUUAAAACAAGGGAAUUGCUUAUUAUUUCUUAUGGUUUCUGUUAAGA